This 175-nucleotide microRNA precursor is filed under the name Paramuricea clavata. The record is from RNAcentral. Lineage: Eukaryota; Metazoa; Cnidaria; Anthozoa; Malacalcyonacea; Plexauridae.
CACGAAACGUUUGUUCGCCACCACAGCAACCUAACUAAAUAUAUUGUAUUUGUUGUAUUUUUAUGAUUGAUGACAAAACUACGCAAAUAUUUGUUGUUUUUGUCAUGAAUCAUAAAAAUACGAUAAAUACAAUAUAUUUAGUUAGGUUGCGGUGGUGGCGAACAAACGUUUCGUG